Molecule: ribosomal RNA, 495 nt
Filed under: fungal sp. CS6E6
Lineage: Eukaryota; Fungi
Description: eukaryotic LSU rRNA
Rfam family: 5.8S ribosomal RNA (bases 143-296)
Source: RNAcentral
UUACAACUCCCAAACCCCUGUGAACAUACCACUUGUUGCCUCGGCGGAUCAGCCCGCUCCCGGUAAAACGGGACGGCCCGCCAGAGGACCCCUAAACUCUGUUUCUAUAUGUAACUUCUGAGUAAAACCAUAAAUAAAUCAAAACUUUCAACAACGGAUCUCUUGGUUCUGGCAUCGAUGAAGAACGCAGCAAAAUGCGAUAAGUAAUGUGAAUUGCAGAAUUCAGUGAAUCAUCGAAUCUUUGAACGCACAUUGCGCCCGCCAGUAUUCUGGCGGGCAUGCCUGUUCGAGCGUCAUUUCAACCCUCAAGCACAGCUUGGUGUUGGGACUCGCGUUAAUUCGCGUUCCCCAAAUUGAUUGGCGGUCACGUCGAGCUUCCAUAGCGUAGUAGUAAAACCCUCGUUACUGGUAAUCGUCGCGGCCACGCCGUUAAACCCCAACUUCUGAAUGUUGACCUCGGAUCAGGUAGGAAUACCCGCUGAACUUAAGCAUAUC